Molecule: long non-coding RNA, 7518 nt
Filed under: Phoenix dactylifera (date palm)
Lineage: Eukaryota; Viridiplantae; Streptophyta; Magnoliopsida; Arecales; Arecaceae
Description: long non-coding RNA (PDAC_LNC007427)
Source: RNAcentral
ACAGGUUUUGGACACUAUGUAAAUCUAUUAACAGGUUUUUUUCCCCCAGUUUAGUUGUUAUGGUCAGUUGGUAAAGCUAACAUCCCGUUAAACUCUUGAUGCAGGAGCAUUACCCUCAUUCAUUUGGGUGUGACACAUUGGAUGCACAUUGGAUCUAGGUGUGUGAGGGAAAAAUCAAGUCCAAGUUGUGGUGUGUUUGAGUCCAUGUAAUAAGUGAUUUAAUUCACAAUCGGUUAGUGUCUCCAAUGCCUAAUUAGAUUGAGUCCAAGGCAUUGAUUGGGUCAAGUAGAAGAAAUUCAGAGUUCAGAUCUAGUUGAAAUCCGUGACAGGUUGAACACCAUAUAGUAUUUUAAACAUUUCGGAAGCUACAGAAGUCUGAUUAAGUUGAUUCAAAUUUUGUUGGAAAGUAGACAUCCGUAGCUUUCUAAUGACUAUAAGAACAUGAAAUUUGGAGAUCGGAUGAAAUUUGAGGAGUCUCCCGAACUUCAUGCUGAUGUUGGUACCCGAGAAGGAGUUCCACCUAGAUAAAUAUUCAUGGCAUGCGGCUGAAUUCCUUUUGAUGGGUUUCAAUCCACACCCAUAGAUAUGGAUCUUAGGUGUUUAGGCUUAGGUGUCAAGGUAUUUGAUUGGUCAAUUAGAAAAUUUGAAUUUUAAAAAAGUCCUCAUGUGAUUAGGAGUCCAAUUUAAAAUUCUGUGUAGUCCUUAUCCUUUGCCAACCUUUCUUUCUAUAUAAAGGAGGGUAUGAUGAAUGAAAUUAGCUUUGGAUUUCGAAAUUGUUAUUUGUUUGCGUGAAGAGAGGCUACUCCUCUUGCUGGUGCGACGCCAAAGGGGCUGAGGGAAGGUGGGACGCCUCCCCUUCACUCCAUUUGAAAUUGGGUUGGUUUUGGAUGAGAUUUUCCUAACUAACUCAACCUUAUCCUUAUCCAUUCUCUUUCUCCUCACGCCUCCACCCUUUGUGUGCGCCAUCCUUGCUUGCCACCUCAUCCACCAGCAAUUUCCUCACGCCCAUUACCCUCUCACAUCCUCCCCUUGGGUCGAAGGCAAUUCAAACUCUAAUUAAACCCAUUUCAGCCUACAUGCAAAUGAACCAACCAAUUUCAGCUGCCCACUAAACUUGGUGCCUAAUUUUGGUCCAUUGGCUGACCCUCCUUGAACCCAAUCUCGCCAUCCAGCAACCCAUCUUCUUCCUCCUUCCUUCCACCACAAAGAACCCUAGCCUCCAUUGCCAUUGCUUAGAGAAAAAAAAAAUUCAGCCAUCAUCAAAGAAGAAAAAUUCUGCAGCCCACCCCGUUCGGCGUCAAUUGGUAUCAGAGCGAAUCCUUGUCGCCAUGAGUACCAGAAGUAGUCGCCCCUACAACAAUGAACGACAACGUGCUGAGAUGAUGGCCGAGCUCAUCCAGCAAGUGGCGGCCUUGAAUUAGAAGGUAGAAGUUGUUUGGGAUCGUCUCUUCCCCGAGCCAAACAAUCUUGAAGACGAACAUGCUGUCCCCGCGCAACCUGAAAAUUCAGAAGUGCCAUUUGGAGGAGACCCCGACGUUGAAGCAUUCUCCCCCGGGGGUCUAUCACCCCAAAGGCCACCUAGGGGUCAGCGGAUGCCCCCUCCAAACGUUCCUCGUAUGGGGAAUAAUUUCAGGAACCCCUAUGUUCAUCAAAAUCAGCGGGAGCGCAAUGAUCUCGACGAUGUCAUGAAGCGGGUUCGUGUAGAAGUUGCUGAUUACAGCGGAAGCAUGGACCCAACCCACUUCCAGAAUUGGCUGAUGUCUCUCGAAGACUACUUCGAAUGGUUCAGCAUGCCCAAUGAAACCAAGGUGCGAUUCGUGAAGAUGAAGCUCAAGGGCCAAGCACGCAUAUGGUGGCAUAGCGUUGAAGAGAAGCUUCAUCGACUCCGACAGCCCCCUAUCAAUGAUUGGAAGAACAUGAAACUUCGUUUGAAGGAAAAGUUUCUUCCCCUUGAUUAUGAGGAGACACUCUUCGAAGAACUUCUGAAACUUCGUCAAGGAAGCUCUUCCGUAGAGGAGUAUACGGCCCGAUUCCAUGAGUUGAUGAUCCGCAGCAACCUCACGGAGACGGAUCGACAAUUCCUAACUCGGUACCGAUCCGGGCUGAGGGAUGACAUCAAGAGGGAGCUAAUGACGACGCGCAUCUUCAGCCUAGAGGAGGCAUACCAACUCGCCAUUCGAGUUGAAUCGCAGCUACGACAAAGACGCCCUGCGCAAGCCCCGGUUGCACGACGAUUUUCUGAGCGCAGCACCAACCGAGGAGUUCCAUUUCCUCGAGGUAACGCCCCUGCUUUUAGAUCUGAAACCUCUGUAAAUAGAAGCACAUAUCAGGAAAGGGGUGCUCCAAGGGCUAAUGAAAAGGGUAAAGGUCCUAUGCCACAAUCCACGCCGCAAGAGAAGAAUCCUGUUGAAUGCUACAAGUGCGGCGGGCGAGGCCAUUUCGCCGUUGUUUGUCCUACCCGAGACCAACGAUUUGCGUUGGUAUGUGAGGAAGAUGAGAUCAUAGGACCCUCUGAAGUCACUCCUCCCUCUCAGCCCGCUGAUGAAGAGGAAAAUGAAGGGAACGAAGAACAUGAUGAAGAAGCCCCUGCGGUGGAGCUAGAAGCUUCAGAUCUACCCGUGUGCGUCGUGCGACGGGUUCUUACGGGUUGCAAGCAAGAGGAGAACGUGGAGGAAGAUUGGAGGCGCACCAAUAUCUUCCACACUCGCGUCGAGCAUGCCAACAAGUCUCUAAACCUCAUCAUUGACAAUGGAAGCUGCAUGAACAUCAUUUCCGAAGAAGUGCUGAAAAAACUGAAUCUGAAAUCGGUACCGCAUCCAAAGCCGUAUCGGGUAAGUUGGAUCGAAGACUCCUCCAUCCCUGUUAAACAAAGAUGCUUGAUCAGUUUUUCACUUGGUAAGGACUUCCGAGAUGAAGUAUGGUGCGAUGUUCUGCCCAUGAAAGCGUGCCAUCUUCUUCUAGGAAGACCUUGGUUGUAUGAUCGUAGUGUCAAGUAUGACGGUCGAUCCAAUUGUUAUUCUCUAUAUUGUGCCAACAAAAGAGUUGUGUUAAAGCCCCUUCAGAUCACUGAUUUUACCUCUGAAAAUCUGAUAAUCCAACGGAUUUUAAUCAUGAGAAAGUUUGAAGCUUGUAGCCGAGAGAUUGGAGUCAUGUAUGCACUAGUGUCUAGGGAAGUUGGGGCUGAAAUUUCAGAAAUUGUUCCUCCUGAUUUCAAGUCUAUAUUGGAUGAUUUUUCUGAUGUAACCCCUGAGGACCUUUCCAAGGAGCUUCCACCGAUGAGGGACAUCCAACAUGCCAUAGAUUUGGUGCCCGGUUCAAGCUUACCGAAUCUUCCCGCAUACCGGCUGAAUCUGAGAGAACAUGAGGAGCUUCACCGNNNNNNNNNNNNNNNNNNNNNNNNNNNNNNNNNNNNNNNNNNNNNNNNNNNNNNNNNNNNNNNNNNNNNNNNNNNNNNNNNNNNNNNNNNNNNNNNNNNNNNNNNNNNNNNNNNNNNNNNNNNNNNNNNNNNNNNNNNNAAGUACCGUUUCCCGAUCCCGCGGCUUGACAUGCUGGAUUUGUUGCAUGGAGCCACCAUCUUCUCCAAGUUGGACCUUCGAAGUGGCUACCAUCAGAUCAAAAUCAGACUUGGGGAUGAGUGGAAGACGACAUUUAAGACCAAGGAUGGCCUCUAUGAAUGGAUGGUUAUGCCGUUUGGUCUCUCCAAUGCGCCAAGUACUUUCAUGCGGGUUAUGAAUCAAGUGUUGAAACCGUACAUUGGGCGCUUUGUGGUUGUUUAUUUUGAUGACAUUUUGAUUUUCAGUCGUAGCCGUGUGGAGCAUCAGCAACAUCUUCACCAAGUGCUUCUUACACUUCGAUCAGAAAAACUUUAUAUUAACCUGAAGAAGUGCUUCUUUGCUGAAUCACAAGUACCAUUUCUUGGUUUCAUAAUUUCAGAUCAAGGUGUUGCAGCGGACCCGGAGAAAGUUCAUGCCAUUCGGGAAUGGCCGACGCCAAGUAACAUUCAUGAGGUGAGGAGCUUCCAUGGCUUGGCUUCCUUCUACCGCCGGUUCAUAAAAAAUUUCCGCAGCAUAAUAGCACCAAUCACCAAUUGUAUGAAGGCUGAAAAUUUCCGUUGGACGCCAGCCGCCACUAGAGCUUUUGAAGACAUCAAGGAGCGUCUAACCCAAGCCCCAAUUCUUCGACUUCCAGACUUUGAUCAGCUCUUCGAGGUCGCUUGUGAUGCUUCUCACGUCGGGAUUGAUGGAGUUCUGAGCCAAGAAGGUCAUCCCAUUGCUUUCUACAGCGAAAAGCUCAACGACCCCAAGCGAAGGUAUUCCACUUAUGAUAUUAAGUUUUAUGCUAUGGUUCAAACUCUUAAACAUUGGAAGCAUUAUCUCCUACAUCGAGAAUUUAUCAUGUACACCGAUCACGACUCUCUAAAGUACAUCAAUUCACAAAAGAAGCUAAGCGCGCGACAUGCAAGAUAGGUGAAUGUACUGCAGCAAUUUACUUUUGUAUUGAAGCAUAGACCGGGUGUAGAAAAUCGAGUCGCUGAUGCCCUUAGCCGGAAGACACAUGUUCUCAUCCUCUUGAAUGCAGAAGUAACGGGCUUCAAUGAUCUGAAAAUUCUAUAUUCUACUGAUACAUAUUUUCAGCCUAUCUACGCCGAAAUUUCAGCAGGGAGUCACCGGCAGCAUUCUGAUUUUUCGAUCCAUGACGACUUUCUCUUCCGUGGCACACGCCUAUGUAUUCCAGAAACCUCUCUUCGCGACCGCAUCAUCCGGGAGGUUCAUGAGGGAGGUCUUGCUGGUCACUUCGAGCGUGACAAGACCGUCGUUACGAUGGAGGACAGGUUCUAUUGGCCGACCCUGUGCAAGGAUGUCCACCGAAUCAUCAAACAUUGCCGAACUUGUCAACUAGCCAAGGGAACAAAAUCCAAUGUCGGCCUCUACUCUCCACUACCAUUGCCGAGCUCACCAUGGGAGGAUCUCAGCAUGGACUUCGUGCUUGGGUUGCCCAAGACGGCACGAGGACAUGAUUCUAUUUUUGUCAUUGUUGACAGGUUUUCAAAGAUGUCGCACUUUGUGCCCUGUGCGAAGACUUAUGAUGUAUCACGAGUUGCUGAUUUGUUCUUAAAAGAAGUGGUUCGUCUACAUGGGCUCCCGAAGACUAUUGUAUCUGAUCGUGAUGUCAAGUUCGUUAGCUAUUUUUGGAAGACACUUUGGGCGAAGCUUGGCACCCGUCUUUCCUUCUCCAGCGCCUAUCACCCCCAAACCGAUGGGCAGACCGAGGUGGUCAACCGCAGUCUUGGGAACCUUCUUCGAUGCUUAAUCCGGGAUCAUGUGAAGUCAUGGGAUCUAAUUUUACCCCAUGCUGAGUUUGCCUACAACAGCAGUGUCAACCGUACCACAGGAUUGUCACCUUUCGAGAUUGUUCUCGGAUUGAAGCUGCGGCGGCCUAUUGAUCUUGUACCACUUCCCAUCAAUACAAGGACCAGCGAAGGUGGUGAAGACUUCGCCAGGCACAUACAAGACAUCCAUGCUGAAGUUCGACGUCGUUGGGUCACCAACACCGAGAUUUACAAGCAACAAGCAGACCUGAAGCGACGUCCCCUGGAAUUCAAAGAAGGAGACCUUGUGAUGAUGCGGUUGAGUGCUGAACGCUUCCCUCGCAGAAAUUUUCAGAAGCUUCAUCCUCGUCGCGCCGGUCCCUUCAAGAUACUGAAACGAAUGGGACCUAAUGCAUAUGUGCUUGAUUUGCCUGAAGACUUGCAGGUUAGCCCAAUUUUCAAUGUUGAAGACCUGCAGCUUUACGAAGGACACUAUGCUGAAGAUGAAGACCCUCCAGCCAUACCACCAUCACUACCACGUCGAUCAGCCCCUAAAGACACCAUUGAAGACAUUUUGGAUGAUCAAAUUGUGUCCACACGUCGAGGGGGAUAUCAGAAAUUUCUGGUUAAAUGGAAAGGCAGAUCAAUUUCAGAUUGUUCUUGGUUAAAGACGGAGGAAGUCCAACGGUUGAACCCGGAUCUCUACGAGCUCUAUCAGUCACAGAACUCGACAGAGUCGAGUCUUUUUCCAGCCGGGGAGAAUUGAUGCAGGAGCAUUACCCUCAUUCAUUUGGGCGUGACACAUUGGAUGCACAUUGGAUCUAGGUGUGUGAGGGAAAAAUCAAGUCCAAGUUGUGGUGUGUUUGAGUCCAUGUAAUAAGUGAUUUAAUUCACAAUCGGUUAGUGUCUCCAAUGCCUAAUUAGAUUGAGUCCAAGGCAUUGAUUGGGUCAGGUGGAAGAAAUUCAGAGUUCAGAUCCAGUUGAAAUCCGUGACAGAUUGAACACCAUAUAGUAUUUUGAAGAUUUCGGGAGCUACAGAAGUCUGAUUAAGUUGAUUCAAAUUUUGUUGGAAAGUAGACAUCCGUAGCUUUCCAAUGACUAUUUAGAACAUGAAAUUUGGAGAUCGGAUGAAAUUUGAGGAGUCUCCCGAACUUCAUGCUGAUGUUGAUACCCGAGAAGGAGUUCCACCUAGAUAAAUAUUCAUGGCAUGCGGCUGAAUUCCUUUUGAUGGGUUUCAAUCCACACCCAUAGAUAUGGAUCUUAGGUGUUUAGGCUUAGGUGUCAAGGUAUUUGAUUGGUCAAUUAGAAAAUUUGAAUUUUAAAAGAGUCCUCAUGUGAUUAGGAGUCCAAUUUAAAAUUCUGUGUAGUCCUUAUCCUUUGCCAACCUUUCUUUCUAUAUAAAGGAGGGUAUGAUGAAUGAAAUUAGCUUUGGAUUUCGAAAUUGUUAUUUGUUUGCGUGAAGAGAGGCUACUCCUCUUGCUGGUGUGACGCCAAAGGGGCUGAGGGAAGGUGGGACGCCUCCCCUUCACUCCAUUUGAAAUUGGGUUGGUUUUGGAUGAGAUUUUCCUAACUAACUCAACCUUAUCCUUAUCCUUAUCCAUUCUCUUUCUCCUCACGCCUCCACCCUUUGUGUGCGCCAUCCUUGCUUGCCACCUCAUCCACCAGCAAUUUCCUCAUGCCCAUUACCCUCUCACGUCCUCCCCUUGGGUCCAAGGCAAUUCAAACUCUAAUUAAACCCAUUCAGCCUACAUGCAAAUGAACCAACCAAUUUCAGCUGCCCACUAAACUUGGUGCCUAAUUUUGGUCCAUUGGCUGACCCUCCUUGAACCCAAUCUCGCCAUCCAGCAACCCAUCUUCUUCCUCCUCCCUUCCACCACAAAGAACGUAGCCUCCAUUGCCAUUGCUUAGAGAAAAAAAAAAAAUUCAGCCAUCAUCAAAGAAGAAAAAUUCUGCAGCCCACCCCGUUCGGCGUCAACUCUUAACAAUCAACCUCCCAGAAUCAGACCAAAAAUUGAAUAUCAAUUAAAUAAUUUUAACCAAUCUUCGCAUUCAGGAUCUCAGGACCUUCUAGAUUUUCUUGGAUGCAUUUUCCUCAGAAAACCAUACAAGUUCCUCAGUAUGCUCCCAUAAUUAAAAAAAUCUGGGCUUCCCUGAAUUUCGUCGUCAGAACAUAAGUUGGAUAUAUGCUUAAUAACAUGGGCGGCUGACCU